UGGGGAAUUUUGCACAAUGGGGGAAACCCUGAUGCAGCGACGCCGCGUGAUUUAGAAGGCCUUCGGGUUGUAAAAAUCUUUUCUAUUGGAAGAACAUGACAGUACCAUAGGAAUAAGGACCGGCUAAUUACGUGCCAGCAGCCGCGGUAAUACGUAAGGUCCGAGCGUUGUCCGGAAUCAUUGGGCGUAAAGGGUACGUAGGCGGGUAAGCAAGUUAGAAGUGAAAUCCUAUAGCUCAACUAUAGUAAGCUUUUAAAACUGCUCAUCUUGAGGUAUGGAAGGGAAAGUGGAAUUCCUAGUGUAGCGGUGAAAUGCGCAGAUAUUAGGAGGAAUACCGGUGGCGAAGGCGACUUUCUGGCCAUAACCUGACGCUGAGGUACGAAAGCGUGGGUAGCAAACAGG
Molecule: ribosomal RNA, 402 nt
Filed under: bacterium
Lineage: Bacteria
Description: partial 16S ribosomal RNA
Rfam family: Bacterial small subunit ribosomal RNA
Source: RNAcentral